GAUGAACGCUGGCGGCGUGCCUAAUACAUGCAAGUCGAGCGAACGGACGAGAAGCUUGCUUCUCUGAUGUUAGCGGCGGACGGGUGAGUAACACGUGGAUAACCUACCUAUAAGACUGGGAUAACUUCGGGAAACCGGAGCUAAUACCGGAUAAUAUUUUGAACCGCAUGGUUCAAAAGUGAAAGUCGGUCUUGCUGGCACUUAUAGAUGGAUCCGCGCUGCAUUAGCUAGUUGGUAAGGUAACGGCUUACCAAGGCAACGAUGCAUAGCCGACCUGAGAGGGUGAUCGGCCACACUGGAGCUGAGACACGGUCCAGACUACUACGGGAGGCAGCAGUAGGGAAUCUUCCGCAAUGGGCGAAAGCCUGACGGAGCAACGCCGCGUGAGUGAUGAAGGUCUUCGGAUCGUAAAACUCUGUUAUGAGGGAAGAACAUAUGUGUGAGUAACUGUGCACAGCGUGACGGUACCUAAUCAGAAAGCCACGGCUAACUACGUG
RNAcentral lists this ribosomal RNA (497 nucleotides) under uncultured bacterium. RNAcentral's name for it is "partial 16S ribosomal RNA". It matches the Rfam family "Bacterial small subunit ribosomal RNA", at positions 28 to 507 of the family's 1533-position model. The record is from RNAcentral.